AGAAAUUUAGUUAAAAAUAACAUUAAUAUGUCAUAUUAAAAUUAUUGAUAAUAAUUCAAUAAAUUCUA
RNAcentral lists this transfer RNA (68 nucleotides) under Neohirasea japonica. Its description in RNAcentral is "tRNA-Asp". The record is from RNAcentral. RNAcentral also lists the same sequence under 2 other names. Lineage: Eukaryota; Metazoa; Arthropoda; Insecta; Phasmatodea; Lonchodidae.